Gorilla gorilla gorilla (western lowland gorilla) is the source of this 92-nucleotide small nucleolar RNA. Its record names the gene SNORD116. It matches the Rfam family "Small nucleolar RNA SNORD116". Rfam says of the family: HBII-85 is a member of the C/D class of snoRNAs, which contain the C (UGAUGA) and D (CUGA) box motifs. HBII-85 is encoded in a tandemly repeated array with another C/D snoRNA, HBII-52, in the Prader-Willi syndrome (PWS) region of chromosome 15. Unlike most other snoRNAs, HBII-85 is expressed prevalently in the brain (but is absent in PWS patients) and lacks any significant complementarity with ribosomal RNA. The record is from Ensembl. Lineage: Eukaryota; Metazoa; Chordata; Mammalia; Primates; Hominidae.
AGAUCAUUGAUGACUUCCAUAUAUCCAUUCCUUGGAAAGCUGAACAACAUGAGUGAAAACUCUACUAAAAAAAGAAAAGAAUUGGGAGGCCG